RNAcentral lists this ribosomal RNA (468 nucleotides) under uncultured bacterium. Its description in RNAcentral is "partial 16S ribosomal RNA". It matches the Rfam family "Bacterial small subunit ribosomal RNA", at positions 28 to 507 of the family's 1533-position model. The record is from RNAcentral.
GACGAACGCUGGCGGCGUGCUUAACACAUGCAAGUCGAACGGAAAGGCCCUGCUUUUGUGGGGUGCUCGAGUGGCGAACGGGUGAGUAACACGUGAGUAACCUGCCCUUGACUUUGGGAUAACUUCAGGAAACUGGGGUUAAUACCGGAUAGGAGCUCCUGCUGCAUGGUGGGGGUUGGAAAGUUUCGGCGGUUGGGGAUGGACUCGCGGCUUAUCAGCUUGUUGGUGGGGUAGUGGCUUACCAAGGCUUUGACGGGUAGCCGGCCUGAGAGGGUGACCGGCCACAUUGGGACUGCGAUACGGCCCAGACUCCUACGGGAGGCAGCAGUGGGGAAUAUUGCACAAUGGGCGGAAGCCUGAUGCAGCAACGCCGCGUGCGGGAUGACGGCCUUCGGGUUGUAAACCGCUUUCGCCUGUGACGAAGCGUGAGUGACGGUAAUGGGUAAAGAAGCACCGGCUAACUACGUG